RNAcentral lists this ribosomal RNA (700 nucleotides) under uncultured bacterium. Its description in RNAcentral is "bacterial SSU rRNA". It matches the Rfam family "Bacterial small subunit ribosomal RNA", at positions 94 to 812 of the family's 1533-position model. The record is from RNAcentral.
AGUGGCAAACGGGUGAGUAACACGUGGGUGACCUACCUCAGAGUGGGGAACAACAGACCGAAAGGUUUGCUAAUACCGCAUAUGCUCGAUGAUUCAUUUUAUCAUGCAAAGGCGCAAGUCGCUCUGAGAGGGGCCCGCGUCCCAUCAGGUAGUUGGUGAGGUAAUGGCCCACCAAGCCGAUGACGGGUAGCUGUUCUGAGAGGAAGAUCAGCCACAAUGGAACUGAGAUACGGUCCAUACUCCUACGGGAGGCAGCAGUGAGGAAUAUUGCACAAUGGACGAAAGUCUGAUGCAGCGACGCCGCGUGGGUGACGAAGGCCUUCGGGUCGUAAAACCCUUUUGGCAGGGACGAGUGAGGACGGUACCUGCAGAAUAAGUCUCGGCUAACUACGUGCCAGCAGCCGCGGUAAAACGUAGGAGGCGAGCGUUAUCCGGAUUUACUGGGCGUAAAGCGUGCGUAGGCGGUUGGUCAAGUCAGAUGUUAAAGCCCCUGGCUCAACUGGGGGAGGUCAUUUGAUACUGAUCGGCUUGAGGGUGAGAGAGGAGAGUGGAAUUCCCGGUGUAGCGGUGGAAUGCGUAGAGAUCGGGAGGAACACCAGUGGCGAAAGCGGUUCUCUGGCUCACUUCUGACGCUGAGUGCACGAAAGCGUGGGUAGCAAACGGGAUUAGAUACCCCGGUAGUCCACGCCCUAAACGAUGA